GCGCCCAGUGGACAGAUUGGUGAGGUCUUCCUGCCAUACGGCUGUCACUCCUCGUUAAAGGGAACGAGGUGGAUUUCCACCACUGUGACAUCACCGCGGGUGACGCAGAGCUGGCAGAUGAGUGGGGGGGAGGCAGGUCACCACAAGCCCGGUUGCGCAGUCAGGCAGCGUGAUGAAAAGCCGCCGCGCAUUCUUGUUAGCGGGAGUUCCUCUUUGUUGACUCAAGGCUGCCGAAACAACCUGGGACCAGAUUUCAGAAUGCGGAACACAAAACAGUAAGGUGAGUACUUUGAAGUACUUUGUUUACAGGUGAGUAACAACUUUCUUUAAGUUUUCAGAAACCUUAAAAGUUAGCAGAGAAACAAGGGAGCCGGACCAAAUCUGAGACGUCUAACGAUUCUAAACAGUCAGGUAAUAAUAAUUCUUAC
Long non-coding RNA from Brienomyrus brachyistius, 428 nucleotides. RefSeq lists it as uncharacterized. Lineage: Eukaryota; Metazoa; Chordata; Actinopteri; Osteoglossiformes; Mormyridae. The transcript has 3 exons. The record is from RefSeq and is a predicted model, not a curated record.